CUACGGGCGGCACCAGUGGGGAAUUUUGCGCAAUGGGGGAAACCCUGACGCAGCAAUACCGCGUGAGUGAAGAGGGCCCUUGGGUCGUAAAGCUCUUUGUAUAGGGGAAGAUAAUGACGGUACCCUAUGAAUAAGCACCGGCUAACUCCGUGCCAGCAGCCGCGGUAAUACGGAGGGUGCAAGCGUUGUUCGGAUUUACUGGGCGUAAAGGGCGCGUAGGCGGAUUUAUAAGCAAAGGGUGAAAUCCCGGGGCUCAACCCCGGAACUGCUCUUUGAACUGUGAGUCUAGAGAAUGUCAGAGGCAAGUGGAAUUCCUGGUGUAGAGGUGAAAUUCGUAGAUAUCAGGAGGAACACCGGCGGCGAAGGCGGCUUGCUGGGGCAUUUCUGACGCUGAGGCGCGAAAGCGUGGGGAGCAAACAGGAUUAGAUACCCUCGUAGUC
Molecule: ribosomal RNA, 440 nt
Filed under: uncultured bacterium
Lineage: Bacteria
Description: partial 16S ribosomal RNA
Rfam family: Bacterial small subunit ribosomal RNA
Source: RNAcentral